GGAGGGCCGGACGGGAAUUCGGUCCAGACAACGUUAUAGCCCAGCGCCUUCAGCUUGGGCUCGAGCGAGCCUUUGCUCUUCAGCAGCACCAGCUUGCCGUACUUCUGGAAGCCGAUGCGGACGACCUUGUCCUGGGCCUGUGCAGACGUGACCGGCAGGAGCGCUGCAAGAGACAGCGCGACCGCGGCGGAGGCCGCCAGAGUGAGAUUCGUAAACGCGCGGCGUGUG
Molecule: unclassified non-coding RNA, 228 nt
Filed under: Hevea brasiliensis (rubber tree)
Lineage: Eukaryota; Viridiplantae; Streptophyta; Magnoliopsida; Malpighiales; Euphorbiaceae
Source: RNAcentral